GGACUACUGGGGUAUCUAAUCCUGUUUGCUCCCCACGCUUUCGCACCUCAGCGUCAGUAAUGGACCAGUGAGCCGCCUUCGCCACUGGUGUUCCUCCGAAUAUCUACGAAUUUCACCUCUACACUCGGAAUUCCACUCACCUCUUCCACACUCAAGACACCCAGUAUCAAAGGCAGUUCCGGAGUUGAGCUCCGGGAUUUCACCCCUGACUUAAAUGUCCGCCUACGUGCGCUUUACGCCCAGUAAUUCCGAACAACGCUAGCCCCCUUCGUAUUACCGCGGCUGCUGGCAC
RNAcentral lists this ribosomal RNA (292 nucleotides) under uncultured bacterium. RNAcentral's name for it is "partial 16S ribosomal RNA". The record is from RNAcentral. RNAcentral also lists the same sequence under 1 other name.